Molecule: transfer RNA, 52 nt
Filed under: Angiostrongylus costaricensis
Lineage: Eukaryota; Metazoa; Nematoda; Chromadorea; Rhabditida; Metastrongylidae
Description: tRNA-Ser
Source: RNAcentral
AACUAUAAAAUUCUGUUUUGAAAACAGUUUGUAAGAAUUUUUCUUGUAGUUU